RNAcentral lists this ribosomal RNA (376 nucleotides) under uncultured bacterium. Its description in RNAcentral is "bacterial SSU rRNA". It matches the Rfam family "Bacterial small subunit ribosomal RNA", at positions 28 to 405 of the family's 1533-position model. The record is from RNAcentral.
GACGAACGCUGGCGGCGUGCUUAACACAUGCAAGUCGAGCGGUAAGGCCCUUUCGGGGGUACACGAGCGGCGAACGGGUGAGUAACACGUGGGUGACCUGCCCUCAGCUCUGGGAUAAGCCUGGGAAACCGGGUCUAAUACUGGAUAUGACUCCAUGACGCAUGUUGUGGGGUGGAAAGCCUUGUGCGGCUGAGGAUGGGCCCGCGGCCUAUCAGCUUGUUGGUGGGGUGANGGCCUACCAAGGCGACGACGGGUAGCCGGCCUGAGAGGGCGACCGGCCACACUGGGACUGAGACACGGCCCAGACUCCUACGGGAGGCAGCAGUGGGGAAUCUUGCGCAAUGGCCGGAAGGCUGACGCAGCGACGCCGCGUGGA